This 1256-nucleotide ribosomal RNA is filed under the name Triticum aestivum (bread wheat). Its description in RNAcentral is "partial small subunit ribosomal RNA". The record is from RNAcentral. Lineage: Eukaryota; Viridiplantae; Streptophyta; Magnoliopsida; Poales; Poaceae.
CGGCCGGCCGAAAAGGAGACGACCACCAACACCAACUGGGAGUGGAAGUGGAGGCCUGCUUGCUUUCGGUGGGGAGCCGGAGAGCGAGUCUCCCCCUUUCGGUGCCGCUGUCGGGGUUCUAAUUCGGCCCCGCUCUGCUCUGCUCUGCUCCGGCGGCGGGGUUUAAUUCGGCGACGGCAGCGGCCUCUGGUGGCGGGGGAAGAGCAGGGAGAUGGUGGCGGCGGCGCCGUGCGCCGCGCGGAGGUCGUUCAGGGACUCGCUCAAGGUGCUGGAGGCGGACAUCCAGCACGCCAACACCCUGGCGUCCGAGUGCUCGCGGGACUACGACGGGGCGUGCCUGCAGAUGCGCAUGUCCUACAGCCCCGCCGCGCGCCUCUUCCUCUUCCUCCUGCAGUGGACCGACUGCAGCCUCGCCGGCGCCCUCGGCCUCCUCAGGAUCCUCAUCUACAAGGUCUAUGUGGACGGCACAACAACCAUGUCCACCCACGAAAGGAAGGCCAGCAUCAGGGAAUUCUACGCUGUGAUAUUCCCCUCCCUCAUGCAACUGGAGCACGGGAUAAGCGACUCCGACGACCGGAGGCAGAGGGCGGCGUGCUCAGAGCGAUACAGGAGGAGAGACGAGCCAGAGGACAGCAAGAGGCCGGUCUCCGAGAUCGACGCCGAGAUAGAGGAGGAGUGCGGGAUCUGCAUGGAGCUCAACAGCAGGGUCGUGCUGCCCAACUGCAGCCAUGACAUGUGCAUCAAGUGCUACCGUCAAUGGCGCUCGAGAUCUCAGUCAUGCCCCUUCUGCCGAGACAGCCUCAAGAGAGUAAACUCCGGCGAUCUAUGGAUGCUCACCGACCAGCGCGACGUCGUCGACAUGGCGACGGUGACGAGGGAGAACAUCAGGCGCCUCUUCACGUACAUCGAGAAGCUGCCUCUCGUCACGCUGGACAACAUCUUCGAUGCCUAUGAUUCCCAUAGGAUGUUCCUUGUCCUAGGAUGUGGCUGACCAUGGAUGGAGCAGCCUGACAGAGAGACCCUGUGUGAGCACUCUAGGGUCCUCGGGUUUUGUAAAUACAUGUACAGAUUUACAGUUUGCAUGGAAAUGUUCAGGGAUAGCCAGAAUAACAAUAUGUUUCGACCCGGAAAAGAAAAGAAUAGCAAUAUGUUUGCAGUAGAGUAAUGCCUGUACAUAUUUGUAAUCUGGAUGGGAACAGACAUAUGGUGCAUGUACUACCUCCGUUCUGAAUUAUAAGAUGUUUUGCAUAUUUUAG